UUCUAUCUCCGGCUUUUCCUUUAGCAGAGAUGGAUAGAACUGCUGCUACAAUGCUGUGCAUUUGUUCACUGUGCUCUUUUGUUUGUCAUGUGCUAUGAUAUUUAUGUCCCAGAUGCAGUAGAUAUGAGUGCUGUCGAGUGAUGAUAAUUUUAUGAAACAACAGAGGUGGAAACAAAGUUGUAGCUUAAAAAGCAAGUAGGUCUUUCUUGCAUUGAUGUCAUGGGGAGAAAGAAUGGCACUGGAGAAAUCAGUUUUUGGGUUAUAGGGACAGAUCUUCAGAAAUGUCGGCAGAAAGUUAUUAGAUAAAGCAAACAGUUUUAGCUCGUGGGUUUAUUUAGUGUAUGAGAAUGGAAAUAGAGAGCUUAUGUAGAUUGUUUUUUAAAAAUAUUUUUUAGAUAUGGAGGCUGUAGUAUUCUUAACUAUAGAGUCCUUCUCGAGGAGUUUGACAUGGUUAUUAGGAGUUUUUGGCAAAAAGGUUGAGCUUAUUUUGAUAUAUAUUGCAGGACAUUACCUUGUGACAUAGUUCAUCUAUUUUAUUUUAUUUUUUUUAAGAUAGGGAGAUGCAUACGUGCCAUAAUUAUCCAAGUCCAGAUUCUUAGGCAUGCACCUUCCAAGAAUUUAACUCAGAACCUCUAGUUGGUAACAUGAGGGGUGUGACCACUAGCACAAACUCUAAUUCAAGUGGUAUAACUCAUGUAACUAUGAACUUUGCCUAUUUCUAAGCUAAUACUUGGAUUGUUAUCUUUAGAAAGUUGGAGAGUGACAAAACAAAUGAUAAACUUAAGAUACUUCAAACAAAGGUCAUCACAUAAAACAACAUUAUGAAUUUUUACUUGGUGUAUACUGAUUUGUAUAACUUGGAAUCAAACAUUGAAAAAAACAAAAAUUGAUGACUCUAUGUUUGACUUGAAAUUGAUAAGGUGGUGGAGAAAGAUAUUGCAUUUUACUUUUGUUAAUCUGGAAGAUUACUUCAUCAAAGUUAUCUUUAUUUAUAAUGGUUAAAUCAGUUUUUUUAAAAUAUAUGAGUCCAUAUAAGCAUUGAUAAUUCUGGUUAUCUUCAUGUGUAUAUGCUUUAUGAAGUAUUUUUUUCUUUGCUAGACAUAAGUUGUGCUAAAUUCUUUGACCAUGCAAUUGUUGGAACUAAAGAUACCUAAACUACUUAGCUAUCUCUAAUUUGUAUAACUUGUUAUAAAUGACAUGUAAUGCCCUAAAGCUUUGGUCCGCAAACAUGGUACUUUAGGCAAUAAUUUUUAUGCAGUCAAAUGGUUGUCAGACGUCUUAGUCAUGAAUAUAUCAUAGUUAUGAGCAUGGAUAACAAUGUUAAGAGUUUGCUAGAAUCUAAAUGUAGGAUGAGGUUUUCUUAUAAGGAAGAGAAUAAUUACCACCCACCUCCAUCAAUGCCAUGAAAGCCCAAUUAAAUGGUGUAUCCCUGCAACCAUUUGCUACAUUAAUUAACAAGGAAACUAAGAACCUUCUUCUAUUGUGGAGCAAUAGAUUGGCUUUAGCUUCAAGAAACUGAGCUGGAAAGCACGGAUACUUAAAUUACUUAUGUCCGUAUGGGAUGCGUAUUAGAUGCCAAUACUUGUUAAUUAGUAAUAUAAUACAUGUUGGAUAGUUAAUUAAGUAUUCUUUCUUUUUGAAAUUAUAAGAAGGGCUUUUAAUACUUUCUUAUAUGCUUGAGAAUUGAGAUACUUUCUUGAUACCUUUAGGGCCUGUUCUUUGGUGGAUAAAUAUCAUGAGAAAGUUGGUUAUUUUUUUAUUAACCAACUUACCUAUGUUCUUAUGCUUCUCUAUGUUGCUAAGUUAUUUUUUGAUUGACAACAUUUAUCCAUGAAAUUGGUGGAAAGACUUUCCCACCCUAGAGGUGAGUAAAUUAUUUUCUCAUCAACUAGUAAAAUAACCUUUUUAUUUUCUUCCUAAGAUAUCCCUAACCCUCUCAUAAUAAUAUAAUACUAUAAUAAUAUAUAAUAAUAUAUAAUAUGAUAUCUAUUAUAUAACAUAAUAUGAUAUAUUAUACAUAAUAAUAUUUAUGUAAGAAAAGCUGUUAUGGAAAAUAUGGAUAGUUUUUAGCAACUUAUCCAAAAAAGUAGUAUUGUAAAAGAACAUGGAUAACAGAUUUUAUAGCCAUUUUCUAAUGCAUAAAAGAUCUUGGAUAAAUUAUUUUCUAUCUAAAUGUUGCCUGAAAAACACUUAAUCGGGAAGGUAAGAUUCUCGAAUAAAUUUUUUACCCCCCAUAAAAUGAGCCGUUAGAAAGGAAGGGGGGGGGAUUUCUUUCGUACUUUCAUUAAUUUUGGAUGCAUGUUGAUCUUUGAGUGGUGAAUGGUCAAGUAUGAGUUUCUUACGUCAAUAUUGCUAUCUAGAGUAUGGUUAAUAGUCUCUAAAUUUGAUUAUGGACUAAUUUGUCCCUACUGAUAAGAGACUAUGCUUUAUCGUUAUUUUUUACAUGUAUAAAAAAUAUAUAUUUAUUUAGUUAAUGUUAUAUCCUAUUUGCAUCCAUUUUUUCAAAAUUUAUUGUAUUAGCCUAUUUGUAUUUUGCAAUGUUCCUUUUUUCUUUUUUGCUUUUCGAAUCCAUGUAAUAUAUAUACCAACUAGGACAGGUUUAAUAAACUCCUUGCAAAUAAAGGUGCAAAAGGGAUAAGAUCUCCUUAAGCAACAUGGUAGCUUAUUCAUAGGGAUCAUGAGAUAGGAUAGCUCUUACAUAAUAAAUUUAUUUGUAGGAAAAGUGUGCAAGAUUUAGGUUUGAAUUCAGUACUUAUCCAACUUUGAGACUGUAUGCCUUGAUCUUUUUUUGUGGACCCUUUAAACUCCUUAAAGAUGCACAUGAAGCCCUUAGUGCAUACUCCUUGAAGUUUUCUGAUGGCUCUUCUUAAAGCCACCGGGUUGAGGCCUAUUCUUGUCAAGGUCUAUUCCUUCACUGCAUGUCUUUAUUGUACCAUCUUCUUUGAGAAUCGUGACUUCAUUACUAAUGUUGAUACUAUCAAUACCAUCUACAUCCUCGAGGUCAUCUCUUGGUCUUUAUUUCUAAAGCUUAUGCAACCUUGGGGCUAAGUAAGGAGAGAAAGAUGAGUACUUGUGUAAUCUCUCCUAUCUCGAAGCAAAACCAAUGCUGAGGCCCUUUCCCAAGGUUAUGUUUGUUGAGCAAAGAUCAUAGUUACUAGGAUAGAAGCAUGAUGAGCUUACCUUUGACAAAAGGGCCUCUCAUCAUGAUUACUAGAGAGGGGCUAAGCAGCCGAGGGUGAGCAUAUAUGCAACUCCUUCCAUUUCCAAACCAAGCGUAUGUGAAGAUCCUUUGCCAAGAUUGUGCUUGUUAAGCAACAAUCAUGGUUACUGGUGUCGGAGCACGAUGACCUUGCCUUCAAUAAAAGAGCCUCCAUCAUGGUUGCUCAAAAGCUCAAGUGAGGAAACAAUGCUGUCAAAGCUUGAGGGCGAAAAUUCGAGAUGCAACCCAAAAUGGUUGAUAAAGAUGAAGUUGCUAGGAUCUUCUACUAUCAUCAGAAGCAAUGUUAGCUGCAUCGUUGUUUUGAAUGCUAAAGGAUGUAAUGUUCUUGCAAGAUGAUAUCGAGGCGUCAUUUCUUUUAUGCAUAUGUUGAAAUGCAAAUGAUAGUGGAAGUUUUUUAUCAGCAUUGAUUGACAAAAUUUUUGUAUAUUUAAACAAGAUAAUGGAAGGUUUUAUCAACAUUGAUUGACAAAAUUUUUGUAUAUUUAUACAAUUAGUAUGAACAUUUUUGAUUGGUAUUAUUUUCGUUGCUUUAAACCUCCAUAUGUUGGACACCUUACAUAUCAUUUGGUUGAUACAAUUUCCAAUAUGAUGAUGGUGGCAAAGGUCUAGCUAUUGGCAUGAAUGAUGAAAUUUAAUGUCGUAGUAAAGUCUCGCGGAAAGAUUUCUUGGUUGUGUGAUGCCAUGAACUUCCACCCUAUAUUUCCAAAUGGAGAAUCAAUAGUAUUAAAGGAUUAGGUGGAUGUAAAUGAAGCAACACUUGACAUGGUUGCCAAUUUUGGAAAUAAAUGCAUGAAGCACCAUGAAAAAUAGAGCAGGAGAUGAUGAAAUAUACACUGAAUGGAGGCAUAAAAAGUAUAGAAGAAACCUAGGACGUAAGGAAAACUUGGUUGAAGGAAAAAACAAAAAUGAAUUGAUUUACAACCCUUGUGUCUAGGAUAACACUUGUUAGGUGGAAAUGUGCCUGUAUGGAGUCAAUGACAUUAUUGUGUUACAUGUGGCUCCAUUAACUAAUAUCAUAUUUCUGGUGAUUACAUUGUCAAUCCAAUUUUUUGUUUUUUGAUUCAUUAGACUUUUGAUCAAGAUUUUUGUCGACACUCUUUGGCACUUCAAUUCAAGACUAUAAAUCUCGUGGGAAUGUGGUGUCCCGAUUUCUCCACGGAAGAGGAUGCCUCGCAUCCCGCCCCAUCUUGAGGUUGUCUUGGUUGGUGACUGAACCAUCCUUCCAUCACUGAGGGGGGAGAGAGGAGGGGACAUCCUUCCAUCAUUGAAUCAUCAAUUGCUCGCUUUGAGAUCUAUGUGGACAUAUGAAUGAUAGAGUUUUGAGCGCUUUGAGACCUGUGUGGUUGGUGAUUGAACAAUGAAUAAGGGUCCUUUUAUGGUGAAAGAUAUCCCAAUUUUGCAUAUCAGAAAGGGAAAAAAAGGCACAUGAUUUUUUGUUUUCCUCAUGACUGGCUCAUGUCCCAUCUAUUGGGAAAAAAAUAGAAGAAGAAAGGAGACCUACAAACCGAGCCCCUCCCCCCAACCUCUAGCAUCAUUAGAAAAAAAGAAAGGCCGAAUUGACUUUCCUUUCCUUUUUCCUUCGAAAUCCCAAUCGGACGGUCGUGUUGGUGUGUGACCCGGCCAGGCUAGUGGGAUUAUUGAGACAGGGGAUGGAAGUAGGUUUCAAGGUUCUCUAUUCUUCCGUGUGCCGUUGUCAUAAUGUGAUCAUUAUUAUAUGCCAACUUCUGAUAUUUUUACAUGAAAUUUACAAGUAUAAGAUAAAAUUUUAUAAAUAAAGCAUAAUUGACCUUUCAUUUUAUGGAUAACUUCCAUAUAUUUUUUAACACAUAAUAUGAGCUGAAGACAUGUUCUUUGUUAGAUUUCACAAAGAUUCCUAUGUCGGAUUUUACAUGACAACUUGAUAGUUGAUACUAUGUUAUGCACUUGAAAACAUUGGUUGCUAGUAAAAAAGUCAUUUCUUAUGUCUUUUCCAGUAAUAAGGGGCUCUAUAUUUAAAAUUGCUUUCACGAUUGGCAUUUAGGGGCUUAGGUGUGGCAAUAGGUCAAGGAACGCUUGUUUUGGGAAUGGAUCAAUGAUUAACUUGCAAAACCAAUGAGGUUUGCAAAUUAUGAGCCCUACAUAAGACACUAAUAAUCUUGAUUCGACAAUAUGGAGACUUCCUACAAGCCCAUGAAAUUCUUGUAUGUUAUGGUGUUGAUGUAUGAACACAUGGAAUAUAUGAUACAAACUUUUGACAUUAUUGAAAAAAUGACAUGGUAGUGCAAUAUAUGAUAUCUAGCACAUUAAAAAAAAUGGAAAAGUAAUAAUGAGAAAUAGGAAGUACUUGAACACAGAUAACUAUAAAAUUGGUUAGAUGUUAGGGACAAUAGUGUCGCCCUAAAAGUACCAUCUCUUAAGAUAUUUUUUAAUUUUAUUGUUCCAUUUAAUUGAUGGCUCCAUUCAAUAUUUUGUGUGGUUGGAAAAUUUCUGGUCUUGAAUGCAUUACAUAGGUACCAACAUAUAAUAAUAAGUUAGGUCGGGCUUAUCCAUUCUGAAGUUGUUAAAGACACUUUUUAUGAAGUCUGAGGGAUGGGGAAUGUUGUGUUUCUAAAGGAGAACAAUUCACCUUCCUCUUUUUCUUAUUUUCAUUUUGAUCUUGAUUUAGAUCCAUUUAUAUCAGGUUUGGGAUGGAAUGAAUAUGGGUAACUGCAGAUCGGAAGGAAAUAAAUUAUGGAGUCAUGAGAUAGCAACAACUUUAAGCAAUAUGAAAAAUUUUGGACAAAUUGUAGUCACUCAUAUAUGGUAUUGCUUAUUAUGUUUGGAUGAUCGCUUAUCUAGAAGAACAAAGAAAAUCUUUGUUCAUGUGGAUAUUUGAUGUCCCAUGCGACAUAUUGUGUAACAUUUUUUGUUACAUAGAUGGAGCAAUAUUUUCCAGAUUUGCCAAAUCAUGGCCAAAUUUGGUAAACAAAACCACCAUCUUGAUUCUUUCUUGUAACAAAACAGAUACUUGCAUGGGAGUAAUCCUACAAGGACCACGAUGACUACUCUUGUCUCCGUCAUUAAUUGCACUCGAUAUUCUUUAUUAAGUCAGCAUAUGUGUGCGCUAGUGAUGAGAUGGACUAUGUCAAGCUUAAAAUGGGCUGCAUAAUCUCAUGGUCAUAUAAGAAGUUGUAUUAAGUUGGUUACCCUAAGACCCCAAUAUUUGGCCUUUGAUAUGAACCCAAGUUUAUUCCAAUCUACGGACCUUCAUGCUUAUAAUUUCUUUAAAAAUUGAGCAUAAGAUUGUCGACACCUUUAUGCUAUAAGUUGUUGGAGUAAAAAAAUAGAAUUAUGACGUAAGGUCAAGGGUUCGAGGCUCAAAUUUAAUGUGGUGGGGAGGAUAUGAGGACCAAAUGAGAUAUCAUGAAAUUAUCUUCCUUUUUUUCUUUAGAGAAAGAUGCAUAUGAUUGGAAACCAAAAGGGUGAAAUGACUGAACCAUAGAUUUAGGAGAUGUGAUUAAUUUUUUAUAAUAUUAUUAUCUAUUGAAAAAUGCUAUAAGGACCAAAAAUAUUGCCAAAAAAUUUUCUUUGCAUUGAUGGCAUGCCACAUUGCACAAGAGUUUUGGUGCUUUAUACCAUAAUACCUUGUGAACAGCAUCAUCCUCAUGAAUCAUACUUUUUGUUUUAAAAAGAUGGGCUGCUUGAUUUUCUAAGCAGCUGCUUUAGGUGGAUCAAGUGCCUUAUCUGUUGGGCAGCCCAAAUGGGUGUCUAUCACUAGACCUGUGCUUGUACAUGUGUUCGUGCGUCAAGCGAGAAUGUGAAGCCUCGAGCAAGGCCUAAGUGCUUCCGGUGUUUCGGGUCAAAUUGAAAUGAGUUGUUUAUUCGUAACUCCAAACAUAAUUGGUUAUCUUAUAAAUUUGAUCAAUUUUCGUUGCCUUGACCCUAAAUAUGCAGAGUACAAAAAGAUUGAGGGGAGAAGAAAGAGGAAUGGCAAUUAGUGCUUGGCAGUUGGCAUUACAUUGCUCAGUGGAAUGGUGGUUGUGGUGCUUGAUAGUUGGCAACUUUAUUAUGUGGUAGUUUCAUUUCUUUUGAUUAAUGUUCCCCCUAAUAUUUAUCUUUUUUUUGUCUUUUUUUGGCGGGGAGUGAUGAGGUUUGGUUAUUAUGGGCGGGCUGGCACCAAUGAUGAUGGUCGUGGCUGCUUAUGGAGCUACCACUAGUAGCAAUAGUCGUUGUUGGUGGUGUUAGGCAGCUACGAGUACCUAUUGUAGGAGCUUUUAUGGCUGGGUGCCUACUUAGUGCAUGGUGCUAGGACACUCAUUUCAUGCCUUUUGUUUUUUAAAAGAAAUAACAACACCAAUCUCUUCAUGCCAUGUGGCAUGCCAUACAUACGAGAAAAGUUUUGGUAAUAGGGCUAAACCUCAUAGCCUUAAUCUCCCAUGCAAAUGAUAUAUUUUGAUCAUUAACUCAUUAGGGACAUGUGUGUGUGUGCGUGUACAUAUAUACAUGUAUAUAUAUCAUGUAUUUGUACACAACUGAAGAAAUGCCAUCCUAUAGGAACCCAGAUGUCCUUGAUGACAUCAAUCUUACCCAAUAUUAAACAUGUAGGGAAUGUGCAUGUGUGUAGACACUCACACAUGCUACACAUAUAUAUACAUCUAUAUGUAGAGGAGAGGGAUUGCAGUGCUGCUUAUAUGAAAAACCUGGUUCUAAAUUCAACAUGAUAUUAACAAUUUCAAUUUCAAUCAUUUUGACCUCAGUAAAGUUGCUUAAUCAUGACCUAGAGGUCAUAGGUUCAAAACACGAAUAUAACUUCCUUUCAUGUGCUGGAUACAUCUAACCCUAUGCAGACUCCGCAAUAGUAGGAGCACUAUGCAUUGGGUUGCCCUUUUUUUAUAACAUCCUAUUGAAAUACUAUGAACAAUUUGUCAUCAAACUAAAGAAUGUCAUCAAAUUUUGUGAUAACCAUUAAGUCAAUAUAGUUUGUCCUUCCAUUUACCUUUCAGUAAUAUUAACUAGCAUAAGCCAAAAAAAGAAUCAUAGGAGUAUUGGGAACCAAAAUCUCAUUUCAAUUGAAAGGUAUUUAUGAAAUUAGUGGACUACAGGACCUACUAAGCAAUUCUGUUGUUUAAAAGGGGGGACUUGGAAUUGAUUUAAGAAAUCAAAUGGAUAUGGACUUAUGGCACGGACAGGUCAUGAGUUUUCAUUUUAUUUUAUUCAUCUAUUCAAAUCUGGCUAGUUCCUAUAGUUACACACAGUUCCACUCAUCAUUUUUUUUACAUGGUUAGUGGAGCUGUGCUCUUCGUCUACGGUAAUGGGGAAGGGUGAGCAGGAAGUGGGCUUUCUCCUUUCUACUAUUAUUUGGUAGAGAUAUUUGUCAACAAUUGUUCCUGGUGAGUAUGUGAAGUUUGGAGUUGAACUUGGGUUUUAAGAUGUGGAUGGGCUCUAACUCCACCUAAUUUUUCCCAUCUUUGAUGGUUUUUAUGUUAUUAGAGAAAAAAGAACUCUCACAUGGAUUUGGAAAGGAGGAUUGUAAAUGAAAGUGAAUCUCUCAUUUAGUUCACCUCCAUGUUGGACCUUGACAACAAUUCCAUGCAAAUCUUUUGUGUAAUGAAGAUUUUUAGGCAAUCUAAGAUUCCUUUUUAUCACGGUUAUGGGUUCAAAUUUAGCCAUUUAGGAUCCAAGGGCUACAAUUCUUUCCACAAAUUUCUUCUCUUGAGUUAAUAUUUUACAUGUGUCCGUAUGAGGAGUUAUUUGAGACCAAUGAGCUCUAUAAUGGUGGGAAGUUUUUGAUGGAAAAUAAUAGAGUCGUGUGGUUUUAAGAAUCAUAGGUAUCAAGAUGAAGAUUCCUGAUUCCUAAUGGUGUUAUGCGAACAUUUUCUUAAAUUAACCAUGUAUUGAAGCAUUUUGCUAGGUGUAUCGGCUCCUAAGGAUUUUGGUUCUGUGGCAAAAUGUGGACUUCUAAAAGUCACCUAGGGUUUGGAAUGGUGAUGGAAAGCAAAAGCAUGUUAGAGUUAAGUUGAGCCGUUGUGAAUAUUCAAGAUUUUGGUUAUGUGGCAAAAUGUGAACUUCUAAAAGUCACCUAGGAUUUAGAGUGGUGAUGGAAGGCAAAAGCAUGCAGAGUUGAGCAGUAUUGAAUAUUCAAAUGGGGGAUAUGGUGCUAUAUCUUUGAACGGAAAAAUUCAUCACAAGGCAGCAGUCUGUCAUGGUUGUGCAAAUUGUGUUUUGUUUUAUUGGACAAGUGCUUCUUAGGGGUAUUUAGGAGGCCAUGUGAGAUUCUCCAAGUUAGAGCUAAAUGAAAUUGAGCGCAAAGUCUCUUCGUGAAAAUCAUGGAGUUACAUAUCAUCAAUAGUCAGGAAGGUCAUUGGUUGUGAACUGGAAAAAGAGUCAUCUUAUUAGUAAAGUUAGUCUAAAGGCUCAAUCGAAUUUUGUCAACCUGUUUUUAAACUUCAUGGAGACCCCUUCAAAGUGUUUUAUUUGAAAAUGAUGAAGAGAUCCCAAGGUGGCUUGAUGAUAAAACAAGACAGAUUAUUGGGGUUACGCUGAUUUUCUCCCUUGGUAACAGAAAAUCCAAUGCAUAUAGACAAUGAUAAUUAGGAUUUGAAAUGGAGAUUUAGUGCUUGGGCAACAAAAGAUGUACAAUCCGAUGAAUUAAUGGAAGAGAAUGGGGAAGCCUUUCUCACUCUCAUGCAAGCUUGGAACAGGGGUUGAUUACUGAUGAUAAAAUAUAAAUAAGAGAAUCUCUUCUAACAUAAAAUUGGUUACGAGCUCUAGUUCAACAUCAAUUUUUUGUACUAGGUUAGGAGAUAUUGUAGCUAACAUCUGUAUGCAGUUAGGAAUUCGUUCUUUCAAAAAUUUCAAGUUUGCACACAGUAUAAUACAAGGGCAACAUUUUAUGCACUCUAUUCGUGUUGUACUAUAUAAUACCCAUCGAAGCUUGUGAGGCAUGAUCAAGGACUAGCUGCCAGAGUUUUGGCCCAAUUGCAUUGCAAGGGUGCAUAAAAAAAUUACUAAUGAUUUAGUCCUUACAAGUUUCCAUAAUAGUUAGUUGUAUUCUUUGCUAUUGCAUCUAUCACAGCCUUUGUAAUAACAAAAUUAAUUAGGGGGAUUUUCAAAAUCUCAGUUUGAGUUAAGAGUCUAUAGAUGUCAUUCUAAGUAAUGAGACGUAAAAGCCAAAGGACUGCAUAACCAAGAAGAUUGGUCUAGAGUGUAGUGGAGAAAAGAAUUUGAAGGACUAGGAAGCAAGACUAGAUUCAUUUGACAGCUUGUUAAAUAAUCUUUCCACCACAUUCGAAUUGUUUUGACUGGAGAGAAGGUAGAGGAGACAUUGCCAUUUUAUCCCUGCUUUAUUUCUGUCUGAUUUAACUGUAUCAUAAGCCCUCUUUUCUCUACUUGGAUGGUGGUUCCACACCCCCCUUUGGUCCCCCACAAUGCGGUGUGGUUGGCAUGACAGUUAUCAUGAAUGCAUUGUUGGAAUCAUGGCUAUGACUCCUGAAGCCUGAGUAAAUUGAGUAGAGUGAUCCUAGAAUGAGCAGUUUAUGUUUUGCUAGGAGGAAUGAAAUCUACAUAUGUUAUGCAAAAAUUGGGUGACACCCCAUGGUCUUCAUCUUUUAUUAAGUUCCAUUUAUGUUGAACGCUUAUAAAACAUUCAAUGCAGAUAAUUUUUGAUAAAAACUUUGCAGAGGUCCAAAAUUACAGUUCUUGAGAGAAUAAUUUACCUAGCUGUUCAGUGAAAUAAACAGUUCACUGAAGCACAAUCAUCAAUAGUGCAUGGCCUGGCUAUCUUUUUAUUGAAAUAUUCUCUCUGAAUGCAUAGGUAUAAUUUUUUAG
This is a non-coding RNA of Elaeis guineensis (African oil palm), 11005 nucleotides long. Lineage: Eukaryota; Viridiplantae; Streptophyta; Magnoliopsida; Arecales; Arecaceae. The record is from RefSeq and is a predicted model, not a curated record.